This 498-nucleotide ribosomal RNA is filed under the name uncultured bacterium. RNAcentral's name for it is "partial 16S ribosomal RNA". It matches the Rfam family "Bacterial small subunit ribosomal RNA", at positions 30 to 523 of the family's 1533-position model. The record is from RNAcentral.
AUUGAACGCUGGCGGCAUGCCUUACACAUGCAAGUCGAACGGUAACAGGUCUUCGGAUGCUGACGAGUGGCGAACGGGUGAGUAAUACAUCGGAACGUGCCCGAUCGUGGGGGAUAACGAAGCGAAAGCUUUGCUAAUACCGCAUAAGAUCUACGGAUGAAAGCAGGGGACCGCAAGGCCUUGCGCGAACGGAGCGGCCGAUGGCAGAUUAGGUAGUUGGUGGGAUAAAAGCUUACCAAGCCGACGAUCUGUAGCUGGUCUGAGAGGACGACCAGCCACACUGGGACGUAGACACGGCCCAGACUCCUACGGGAGGCAGCAGUGGGGAAUUUUGGACAAUGGGCGAAAGCCUGAUCCAGCCAUGCCGCGUGCAGGAUGAAGGCCUUCGGGUUGUAAACUGCUUUUGUACGGAACGAAAAGACUCUUUCUAAUAAAGAGGGUCCAUGACGGUACCGUAAGAAUAAGCACCGGCUAACUACGUGCCAGCCGCCGCCGUAA